RNAcentral lists this ribosomal RNA (1369 nucleotides) under uncultured bacterium. Its description in RNAcentral is "16S ribosomal RNA". It matches the Rfam family "Bacterial small subunit ribosomal RNA", at positions 28 to 1378 of the family's 1533-position model. The record is from RNAcentral.
GAUGAACGCUGGCGGCGUGCCUAAUACAUGCAAGUCGAGCGAACGGACGAGAAGCUUGCUUCUCUGAUGUUAGCGGCGGACGGGUGAGUAACACGUGGAUAACCUACCUAUAAGACUGGGAUAACUUCGGGAAACCGGAGCUAAUACCGGAUAAUAUUUUGAACCGCAUGGUUCAAAAGUGAAAGACGGUCUUGCUGUCACUUAUAGAUGGAUCCGCGCUGCAUUAGCUAGUUGGUAAGGUAACGGCUUACCAAGGCAACGAUGCAUAGCCGACCUGAGAGGGUGAUCGGCCACACUGGAACUGAGACACGGUCCAGACUCCUACGGGAGGCAGCAGUAGGGAAUCUUCCGCAAUGGGCGAAAGCCUGACGGAGCAACGCCGCGUGAGUGAUGAAGGUCUUCGGAUCGUAAAACUCUGUUAUUAGGGAAGAACAUAUGUGUAAGUAACUGUGCACAUCUUGACGGUACCUAAUCAGAAAGCCACGGCUAACUACGUGCCAGCAGCCGCGGUAAUACGUAGGUGGCAAGCGUUAUCCGGAAUUAUUGGGCGUAAAGCGCGCGUAGGCGGUUUUUUAAGUCUGAUGUGAAAGCCCACGGCUCAACCGUGGAGGGUCAUUGGAAACUGGAAAACUUGAGUGCAGAAGAGGAAAGUGGAAUUCCAUGUGUAGCGGUGAAAUGCGCAGAGAUAUGGAGGAACACCAGUGGCGAAGGCGACUUUCUGGUCUGUAACUGACGCUGAUGUGCGAAAGCGUGGGGAUCAAACAGGAUUAGAUACCCUGGUAGUCCACGCCGUAAACGAUGAGUGCUGAGUGUUAGGGGGUUUCCGCCCCUUAGUGCUGCAGCUAACGCAUUAAGCACUCCGCCUGGGGAGUACGACCGCAAGGUUGAAACUCAAAGGAAUUGACGGGGACCCGCACAAGCGGUGGAGCAUGUGGUUUAAUUCGAAGCAACGCGAAGAACCUUACCAAAUCUUGACAUCCUUUGACAACUCUAGAGAUAGAGCUUUCCCCUUCGGGGGACAAAGUGACAGGUGGUGCAUGGUUGUCGUCAGCUCGUGUCGUGAGAUGUUGGGUUAAGUCCCGCAACGAGCGCAACCCUUAAGCUUAGUUGCCAUCAUUAAGUUGGGCACUCUAAGUUGACUGCCGGUGACAAACCGGAGGAAGGUGGGGAUGACGUCAAAUCAUCAUGCCCCUUAUGAUUUGGGCUACACACGUGCUACAAUGGACAAUACAAAGGGCAGCGAAACCGCGAGGUCAAGCAAAUCCCAUAAAGUUGUUUUCAGUUUGGAUUGUAGUUUGCAACUUGACUACAUGAAGCUGGAAUCGCUAGUAAUUGUAGAUCAGCAUGCUACGGUGAAUACGUUCCCGGG